CGAAAUAGUUCCGAAGUUGCAG
This 22-nucleotide non-coding RNA is filed under the name Drosophila melanogaster (fruit fly). Lineage: Eukaryota; Metazoa; Arthropoda; Insecta; Diptera; Drosophilidae. The record is from RNAcentral.